This is a long non-coding RNA of Bos taurus (domestic cattle), 628 nucleotides long. Lineage: Eukaryota; Metazoa; Chordata; Mammalia; Artiodactyla; Bovidae. The record is from Ensembl.
GGGGAAAGCUGCUUUUGAUUGGACAGAAUCGGAAGAUAUGCAGUGACCAGCCCAAAGCCAUACAGUAGAGGAGUCACAGUUGACACUGAGAACGGCAAGCUGGUGCCCCACGGAGCACAAGAUUCACGCAGAGCACAGGCUGUAGGCCAUGCAGGCUCGGUAGCUGUGGUGCAUGGGCUCAGCUGUCCGGCGGCAUGUGGAAUCUCCCCAGACCAGGGAUAGGACCGCGCCCCCUCCAUUGGCAGGCGGAUUCUUAACCACUGGACCACCAGGGAAGUCCCUGCCCUGCUGAAGUUCCUAGUCUACCAGACACCAGAGAAAUAUACACAGCGUACUAAGGAAGCAUUUAGUAGAGCAAGAAGCCAGCUACCAUGAGUGAGGACACUCAUAUAUGGAAAGACCCUUCUAGGGAAGAACUGAGGCCUCCUGCUGACCCCAGAGAGAGAUGACUGCAGCCCUAGGCCAACAGCUUGACUGCAACUUCACGAGAGACCCUGAGUCAGAACCAUCUAGAGGUGCUCCUCUCGGAUUCCUAACUGUCAGAAACUGUGAGAUCACAAAUGUUUGUUGUUUUAAGCUAUAGCAUUUAGGGGAUAAUUUGUUAUACAGCGAUAGAUAACUAAUACAU